AUUGAACGCUGGCGGCAGGCCUAACACAUGCAAGUCGAACGGUAACAGGAAACAGCUUGCUGUUUCGCUGACGAGUGGCGGACGGGUGAGUAAUGUCUGGGAAACUGCCUGAUGGAGGGGGAUAACUACUGGAAACGGUAGCUAAUACCGCAUAACGUCGCAAGACCAAAGAGGGGGACCUUCGGGCCUCUUGCCAUCGGAUGUGCCCAGAUGGGAUUAGCUAGUAGGUGGGGUAACGGCUCACCUAGGCGACGAUCCCUAGCUGGUCUGAGAGGAUGACCAGCCACACUGGAACUGAGACACGGUCCAGACUCCUACGGGAGGCAGCAGUGGGGAAUAUUGCACAAUGGGCGCAAGCCUGAUGCAGCCAUGUCGCGUGUAUGAAGAAGGCCUUCGGGUUGUAAAGUAUUUUCAGCGGGGAGGAAGGUGUUGAGGUUAAUAACCUCAGCAAUUGACGUUACCCGCAGAAGAAGCACCGGCUAACUCCGUGCCAGCCGCCGCAGUAA
RNAcentral lists this ribosomal RNA (506 nucleotides) under uncultured bacterium. RNAcentral describes it as "partial 16S ribosomal RNA". It matches the Rfam family "Bacterial small subunit ribosomal RNA", at positions 30 to 523 of the family's 1533-position model. The record is from RNAcentral.